Molecule: long non-coding RNA, 859 nt
Filed under: Coturnix japonica (Japanese quail)
Lineage: Eukaryota; Metazoa; Chordata; Aves; Galliformes; Phasianidae
Description: lncRNA (ENSCJPG00005008735.1)
Source: RNAcentral
GUGUUACUUUCAACAUAGAGAGACUCAUUCAGAAUUAAUCCUUUUUUCUUUUCUUUCUUCCUUUUUUUUUUUCUUUUUCUUUUUUUCCUUUUUUUUUUUUUUUUUUUUUCCUGAUGGUCAUUUGAAAACGAAGUAUAUUCAGGAAUGUGUCAGAAAAACAUAAAAGCUAAGAAGUAGUUGUAUAUGUGCAGGAUGACAUUCACCUAAAACUCUGCCCUUCAGAUUGUUAAUGAAAAAUGUUCUACUUCAAACUGAAAGAGAAAAACAUGACUCACACUGUUCGGGAUGUGAAAACAACUGAACUCAACAGAGAAAUCCAAACACCCCUCUGUGAAGUGUUUCUGGAGUUUAUCCCCUGCUGAAAGUCUCCUCCAAGCAUUAUUAAGCAAUCAACAGGCCCUCGCAACGUCUUCCCAUUUUAAGCUACCUAAUUUUCUGUUCACAGCUGCAUGUGAAACUUUCUUCUGUGUGCUGGUAGGUAGCAUCAAAAAAAAAAAAAAAAAACACCAAAAAAAUAAACAAACCUGCUUUUGUUCAGUCAUUUUAAUUUCUUUCUAGGUUUCUUCACAGUUUUCCUGUAAACUGUCAUAGUAGCAGAAGUCUGCAAACGAUGCUUCAGUGAGUAGAUGGGACCAUUUUUAAGGAACUUGUUUGCCCUAAAAUGUUCCCUUUUUGGCCUAGCACUACAGUGUUGGAUUAUACACAACCAUAGUAUGGAUACAAGAGACUAAAUAUUCUCAGCAUGAUCACUGGCCAUGGAGUGGGGGGAGAUGCUUGCAUUCAUUAGUCAGGUUUCCUCUAAUUGUUUUUCUCCACAUACACAAUUUGCAGGAAAUAAAUACAUUAAAAUUCAUAAGCA